GUGUCAGCCGCCGCGGUAAUACGGAGGGUGCAAGCGUUAUCCGGAUUUACUGGGUUUAAAGGGUGCGUAGGCGGGCCCUUAAGUCAGUGGUGAAAGCUCCGAGCUUAACUCGGAAACUGCCAUUGAUACUAUAGGUCUUGAAUUCGGUCGAGGUUGGCGGAAUGUGUCGUGUAGCGGUGAAAUGCUUAGAUAUGACACAGAACACCGAUUGCGAAGGCAGCUAGCUAGACCGACAUUGACGCUGAGGCACGAAAGCGUGGGGAUCAAACAGGAUUAGAAACCCCAGUAGUCC
This 292-nucleotide ribosomal RNA is filed under the name uncultured bacterium. RNAcentral's name for it is "partial 16S ribosomal RNA". It matches the Rfam family "Bacterial small subunit ribosomal RNA", at positions 505 to 796 of the family's 1533-position model. The record is from RNAcentral.